This 253-nucleotide ribosomal RNA is filed under the name uncultured bacterium. RNAcentral describes it as "partial 16S ribosomal RNA". It matches the Rfam family "Bacterial small subunit ribosomal RNA", at positions 524 to 776 of the family's 1533-position model. The record is from RNAcentral.
UACGGAGGGGGCUAGCGUUGUUCGGAAUUACUGGGCGUAAAGCGUACGUAGGCGGCUUUGUAAGUUAGAGGUGAAAGCCCGGGGCUCAACUCCGGAAUUGCCUUUAAGACUGCAUCGCUUGAAUCAUGGAGAGGUGAGUGGAAUUCCGAGUGUAGAGGUGAAAUGCGUAGAUAUCAGGAGGAACACCUGCGGUGUAGACGGCUUACUGGACCAUAACUGACGCUGAGGCACGAAAGCGUGGGUAGCAAACAGG